Molecule: RNA transcript, 1371 nt
Organism: Mirounga angustirostris (Northern elephant seal)
Lineage: Eukaryota; Metazoa; Chordata; Mammalia; Carnivora; Phocidae
Gene name: calcium uptake protein 2, mitochondrial-like
Exons: 3
Source: RefSeq, a predicted model, not a curated record
AUGAAAGAUGCAAACCCCAAGGAUUCAGAAUAUCUGGAAUUAGGGAAUGCAGUGCAGGUGAAGCAAUUGCAGAUUAUUAUCAUCAUUAAAGGUCAGCAUGUGGGACUGGAUCUGUUUGGACCUUUUUUGGACAAUAGUGAUGUAGGAAAGUUGUUAGCACUCAACGCCGACAGCCAAGAAAGAAUUCUUGAGACAUCUUUGACGGCGGCCGCUGCGGCAAGAGGCACUCGGCUGGCGGCCUGGGGCGGAAGGGAGACUGCGGCGUGGGAUCGCUGCCGGCCAGCGAGGUUUGCCGGUCCCCAGCCCCUUGACCGCGGCGUGGCCGGUGUGGCCCUGGCAGGCACAGGAGUGGCAUGGUACCAUGGCCGCAUGAAUGUCGUGGCACCUGAGGGCAGCCUCACCGUCUUAGCACAGGAAAAUGUUGACUCUGGAGAGAUGGGAGAAAAAUUGUCCCUUCGUAAACAGCGCUUCAUGCAGUUUUCUUCACUGGAAAUGAAGGAGAAUAUUGUAUGACACCACGAGACUUAACACUUUUCAGGAAUGUUUGAUAAAAUGGAACGUAAAACUUCAGUGAAGAAGCUGACAAAAAAGGAAUCCAACCAGCUCAUUGUGGAUCAACCUUUUUUAGAGACCUUGGCGAUAAAGGCCUAAUUUCAUAUACUGAGUAUCUUUUCUUGCUUAUAGUGCUCACUAAACCUCUUACUGGGUUUCAUGUUGCUUUUAAAAUGCUGGAUGCAGAUGGUAAUGAGAUGGUUGAGAAAAAGGAAUUUUUUAAGCUACAGAAGAUCGUAAGUAAACAAGAUGACUUGAAGACAACAAUAGCUAAUGAAACAGAAUGCCAGGAAUCAACAGUGAAAGAACCUGAAAUUACCACAACCCUUCAGAUACAUAUUUUUGGAAAAAGAGGAGAAAGAAAACUUCAUUAUAGGGAAUUUCGAAGAUUUAUGGAGAAUUUACAAACGGGGGUACAAGAAAUGGAAUUCCUUCAGUUUUCUAAAGGUUUGAGUUUCAUGAGAAAAGAAGACUUUGCAGAGUGGCUACUUUUCUUCACUAACACUGAAAAUAAAGACAUCUAUUGGAAAAAUGUAAGAGAGAAGUUGUCAGCAGAAGAGAGCAUUAGUUUGGAUGAGUUCAAGUCAUUUUGUCAUUUUACGACCCACUUGGGAGACUUUGCUAUUGCUAUGCAAAUGUGAGGUUUAGCUCAUCGUCAGACUGGCGGAGCUUAAGAGGGCCGUGAAAGUAGCAACAGGACAGGAACUCUCAAACUAUAUUUUGGACACCGUCUUCAAGAUCUUUGAUGUGUAUGGUGAUGAAUGUCUUAGUCAUGGAGAGUUUCUCAGGAUUUUAUUUUAUUUUAUUUUAUUUUUUUAA